GUGCUGGCUUCAGCAACACAUAUACUAAAACUAGAACAUAACAGAGAUUAGCACAGCCCCUGUACAAGGAUAACAUGCAUAUUUGUGAAGUGUCCCAUAUUAAA
Mustela putorius furo (domestic ferret) is the source of this 104-nucleotide small nuclear RNA. The record is from Ensembl. Lineage: Eukaryota; Metazoa; Chordata; Mammalia; Carnivora; Mustelidae.